RNAcentral lists this long non-coding RNA (909 nucleotides) under Equus caballus (horse). RNAcentral describes it as "lncRNA (ENSECAG00000046321.1)". The record is from RNAcentral. Lineage: Eukaryota; Metazoa; Chordata; Mammalia; Perissodactyla; Equidae.
GCUCCCCCUGAACUCAGCGUGCUUGUAAACCAAAUUGGUUACAACAGGCGGUGACGUGGUUUUCUUGUUUGACUCCUGCCGUGUUUCUAAGUUUUCACGUGAUUUUGUUUGACUCUGCCAGACCAGGUUGGGAGCUCCAUCAUCAUCUUCUUCCUCGCCAACGUAUAUCAAAUGCAGUUCUUCGGCCCAGCAAAGCGCCUGAGGAGGAGGAGCCAGCGAGGAGCCAGGGGUGAGCAGCCCUUUGCUUUAUGAACCACAGUGUGGGACCUCUCUCCCAUGCCUCUCCCCUGGAUGGGGGCUCCAUCUCGAUUGCUCACAUCUCAGGAUGAGCCACGUUUCUCCUUGUGAGACGGUAAAUGACAUUCAAGAAAUAACCUUGAGUCUUAAAAGCCCUCCAGAAGAAACGCUGCUCGGGUUGGGUGGCGACUUCUGGCAAGCGUUCAGUAGUUGUCAUCAUCAUCAUCAUUACCACUGAAGAAUGGGCGGUGUGAGUCAUCAAGGCACAAGUCAGACAGACUUGUCUAGGAGCCCCCGUGACUGAAUCAAGCUGCUAUCCUCUCUAGGUCCAGUUCCUCACCUGUAACAUGCAUGAAUUAGUGUGUUCACGUCCUUGCUACUCAAAGUGUCGUCCACGCAGCAGCAGCAUCAUCAUACCCGAUGUUCUUUGAAAACGCAGAAUCUCAGGCUUCAUCCCAGACCAACCAAGUCCAGAUCUGCGUUUGAACAGGAUCGCAGGUGGUGUCAGUGCGCAUCACACCUGAAGAGAUACUGCCUCAUUCCUCACCGGCCCGCCCUUCCCAACCACAUAGGCCUUCUCUGUCCCAGACAGUUCCUCCAGCUCGCUCCCACCUCACUGUUCGCACUUCCUAAUCCAGGUCCCUUUUUACCUCCAUCCCAGCACACUCUCCA